This 487-nucleotide ribosomal RNA is filed under the name uncultured bacterium. Its description in RNAcentral is "partial 16S ribosomal RNA". It matches the Rfam family "Bacterial small subunit ribosomal RNA", at positions 28 to 507 of the family's 1533-position model. The record is from RNAcentral.
GAUGAACGCUAGCGAUAGGCUUAACACAUGCAAGUCGAGGGGCAGCACAAGGUAGCUUGCUAUCUGGGUGGCGACCGGCGCACGGGUGCGUAACGCGUAUGCAACUUGCCCUAUACAGGAGGAUAACCCGUCGAAAGACGGACUAAUACUGCGUAUGCUCACAACUUGGCAUCAAGUGGUGAGGAAAGAAAUUCGGUAUAGGAUAGGCAUGCGUCCCAUUAGCUUAUUGGUGAGGUAACGGCUCACCAAGGCAACGAUGGGUAGGGGAACUGAGAGGUUUAUCCCCCACACUGGUACUGAGACACGGACCAGACUCCUACGGGAGGCAGCAGUGAGGAAUAUUGGUCAAUGGGCGCGAGCCUGAACCAGCCAAGUCGCGUGAAGGAUGACUGUCUUAUGGAUUGUAAACUUCUUUUAUACGGGAAUAACAAGAGUCACGUGUGACUCCCUGCAUGUACCGUAUGAAUAAGCAUCGGCUAACUCCGUG